UGAACCUGCGGAAGGAUCAUUGUCAA
RNAcentral lists this ribosomal RNA (26 nucleotides) under Erica caledonica. RNAcentral's name for it is "partial 18S ribosomal RNA". The record is from RNAcentral. Lineage: Eukaryota; Viridiplantae; Streptophyta; Magnoliopsida; Ericales; Ericaceae.